RNAcentral lists this ribosomal RNA (254 nucleotides) under uncultured bacterium. RNAcentral describes it as "partial 16S ribosomal RNA". It matches the Rfam family "Bacterial small subunit ribosomal RNA", at positions 524 to 776 of the family's 1533-position model. The record is from RNAcentral.
UACGUGGGGUGCGAGCGUUGUCCGGAAUUAUUGGGCGUAAAGAGCUUGUAGGCGGUUUGUCGCGUCUGCUGUGAAAAUCCGGGGCUCAACCCCGGACUUGCAGUGGGUACGGGCAGGCUAGAGUGUGGUAGGGGGAGACUGGAAUUCCUGGUGUAGCGGUGGAAUGCGCAGAUAUCAGGAGGAACACCGAUGGCGAAGGCAGGUCUCUGGGCCACUACUGACGCUGAGAAGCGAAAGCAUGGGGAGCGAACAGG